UGCUAAAGAACCUCAUAUUCAGAACC
RNAcentral lists this non-coding RNA (26 nucleotides) under Cricetulus griseus (Chinese hamster). Lineage: Eukaryota; Metazoa; Chordata; Mammalia; Rodentia; Cricetidae. The record is from RNAcentral.